Xiphophorus hellerii (green swordtail) is the source of this 1443-nucleotide long non-coding RNA. RefSeq lists it as uncharacterized. The record is from RefSeq and is a predicted model, not a curated record. The transcript is spliced from 2 exons. NCBI's taxonomy places the organism in Eukaryota, Metazoa, Chordata, Actinopteri, Cyprinodontiformes, Poeciliidae.
UGCCACCUUAUCGUGGUGGAGGGGUUUGAGUGUCCCAGUGAUCCUAGGGCUGUCGGAGGCUUCAUGCCUAUUUGGGUCGGGUCUGCCGGGGCAAACGGGUCCUAGGUGAGGGAUCGGACCAAGAGCAGCCCAAAUGUCGCUUAGAAAUAUAAACUGGUCCUGUUUAGAGACAGCGAUAUAGACAGGGUUCCUGCCUACAACCAGAGCUAUAGACAGAAGUCAGUUUUUCCAGUGUUUUAUCAGCCUUUAAUUUCCCCCCACUAGGCUAUGGGUUGUUAUUUUAAAUGGGGAUUUUUCUCCACCAGUGACAGUAAAGACAGAUUAGGCUAAAGGUUUAUAGUUGAGGGAUUAAACUGAUGGGAGUUGUGAACCAAUUGUGCCGUCCCAUCAGUUGCCUGUUGGCUUCACAUGCUGUUAUUUCUGAGUUUUGAUGCCUGAUCCUGCACCUCUGACUUUCUGUAACUUGACAUUUUUUAACCCAAACACGCAGCAGACCACUGAUGGAUGAUCCCAGCAGCUCUUCCACUGGGCUCAGCAUGUUUUCUGGAGGAAACCCUGGAAGCUUUCCCAGGGAGCGAUUCAUCAGGUGUCCCACAGCAGCUCCAUGGAAUCGGACUCCGGUGCCGUCAGUAAUGAGCCGAACGGGUCGGCGGUGUGUCGCUACGACUCGCUCAUCUGAGGCUCCAUUGGUGGGGGAGAUUUGAGAUCAAACGGCCUAAAAACGGCCUCGCCUGUUCAGUUUGAGUCUCUGUCACAUUGAGCCGAUGGACACUGAAAAAGAGGAGACACAGCGAGCUUCUCCUACUGACCAGAUCUGAGAGAAGAAAAUGAAGAUUUAACUAUAUCGUCCUGAUGAGUAGCUGCUUUCUGACCCAGAUGAACUCCAUCCAUUCCUGGUUCUGUCCCUCAAGCCAUCCGGGUUCUCUCCAUCCAUCCAUCCAUCCAUCUUGGUUCCCUUCCAUUCCUGCGUGACCAUUUUGAUGUCUUUACAGGGAUGUUCUCACAAUCUGUUAAAAUAAAAAUUAAUAAAACCAGAAAAUCCUUGGAGUUUGUCUUUGAAUGUGGAGAUUCGACAUGAAGAUUGCUUUGAGAUGACAGAAAAGGGGGCAAUAUUAAACAUCGGGGACAAUGUUAUCCCCAAUGUUUAAAGUUCUCCAGAUGUUUAAUGUUCCCAAUGUAUUUUAUCUCCACUGCGUAACAUUGUCCUUAAUGUUUAAGGUUUACUGUAUCUUUACUGUUUUACUUUAUUUCCAAUGUUUAAUACAAAAGGUAACUUUUCUGGAGAUGAAACUGUCAAUAAUGUAAAUAUAAAUAAAUAUUUAUUUGGAUUCAGGUCAAAGAUAAUUCAGUGCUGUAACGGGUAUUAAUUAAUGGAGAUGCUCAUUGUUGCUCAUACAUCUUGUCAACAGUCUACCUCAAUAAAGAAACCCGCAAAACCACAAA